Molecule: ribosomal RNA, 404 nt
Filed under: Actinomycetes bacterium
Lineage: Bacteria; Bacillati; Actinomycetota; Actinomycetes
Description: Actinobacteria bacterium partial 16S ribosomal RNA
Rfam family: Bacterial small subunit ribosomal RNA
Source: RNAcentral
UGGGGAAUAUUGGACAAUGGGCGCAAGCCUGAUCCAGCCAUGCCGCGUGAGUGAUGAAGGCCCUAGGGUUGUAAAGCUCUUUCACCGGUGAAGAUAAUGACGGUAACCGGAGAAGAAGCCCCGGCUAACUUCGUGCCAGCAGCCGCGGUAAUACGAAUGGGGCUAGCGUUGUUCGGAUUUACUGGGCGUAAAGCGCACGUAGGCGGACUUUUAAGUCAGGGGUGAAUUCCCGGGGCUCAACCCCGGAACUGCCUUUGAUACUGGAAGUCUUGAGUAUGGUAGAGGUGAGUGGAAUUCCGAGUGUAGAGGUGAAAUUCGUAGAUAUUCGGAGGAACACCAGUGGCGAAGGCGGCUCACUGGAACAAUACUGACGCUGAGGUGCGAAAGCGUGGGGAGCAAACAGG